RNAcentral lists this ribosomal RNA (465 nucleotides) under uncultured bacterium. RNAcentral describes it as "partial 16S ribosomal RNA". It matches the Rfam family "Bacterial small subunit ribosomal RNA", at positions 338 to 795 of the family's 1533-position model. The record is from RNAcentral.
CCUACGGGUGGCAGCAGUGGGGAAUCUUCCACAAUGGACGAAAGUCUGAUGGAGCAACGCCGCGUGAGUGAAGAAGGGUUUCGGCUCGUAAAGCACUGUUGGUGGGGAAGAAAGAUAGAGGUAGUAAAUGGCCUUUCAUUGACGGUAAUUACUUAGAAAGUCACGGCUAACUCCGUGCCAGCAGCCGCGGUAAUACGUAGGUUGCAAGCGUUGUCCGGAUUUAUUGGGCGUAAAGCGAGUGCAGGCGGUUCAAUAAGUCUGAUGUGAAAGCCUUGGGCUCAACCGGAGAAUUGCAUCAGAAACUGGUGAACUUGAGUGCAGAAGAGGAGAGUGGAACUCCAGGUGUAGCGGUGGAAUGCGUAGAUAUAUGGAAGAACACCAGUGGCGAAGGCGGCUCUCUGGUCUGCAACUGACGCUGAGGCUCGAAAGCAUGGGUAUCGAACAGGAUUAGAUACCCGGGUAGUC